AAAAAUUUUAUUUUGGUUUAAGAAUUUAGUGUUAUUUUUUAUUAUAUGUAAAAUUUUAUUAAAAAAUAUUUAAUGCAGUGAUUGGAUUUAAAUAUUCAAGAAAUUGAGAUUUAGGAAUUAUAAAUGAUAUAAACAAAAUUUGUGCCAGCAGUUGCGGUUAUACAAAUUAUAUAAUUAAAUUUUUUUUAAUUUUAAUUAGUUUUUAUAAAAAUUUUAAAUUAAGAUUUAUUUAGUGAAAUUUUAAAUUUUUAAUUAAAUUUUAAAAUUAAAUGCAUUAAGAAAUUUAUUUUAUAGACUAGGAUUAGAUACCCUAUUAUUAAAAAUGUUAAAGUAAAAUUAAAUUAGUAUUAGUUAUGAUCUUGAAAAUUAAAAAAUUUGGCGGUAUUUUAGUCUUUUCAGAGGAACCUGUUUUAUAAAUGAUAAUCCACGAUUUUAUAAACUUUUUUUAUUAGUUUACAUAUCGUCGUAAUUAAAUAUUUUUAAAAAAUUUAAAUAUUUAAGAUUUUUUUUAAAAAAAAAUUCAGAUCAAGGUGUAGUUUAUUAAAAAAGUAAAAAUGGGUUACAAUAAAUUUAUUUAAGGAUUUAUUAUGUUAUUAUAAUAUUGAAUAUGGAUUUGAUAGUAAUUUUAAUUAAUUAAUUAAAAUGAUUUUAGCUCUAAAAUAUGUACAUAUUGCCCGUCGCUUUCAUUUAAGGUGAAAUAAGUCGUAACAAAGUAGACUUACUGGAAAGUGAGUCUAGACC
RNAcentral lists this non-coding RNA (741 nucleotides) under Psylliodes punctifrons. The record is from RNAcentral. Lineage: Eukaryota; Metazoa; Arthropoda; Insecta; Coleoptera; Chrysomelidae.